GGUUCUUCUCCUCUUCUAGUGUUCUUCUGGUUCUUCUCCUCUUCUAGUGUUCUUCUGGUUCUUCUUCUACUCUUCGUCAUUAAUUGUGUCCUCCAUCGUCUCCUCAAUAGUUUCUUCUCUGUCAUUGUUCUCUCUCUUCUCUCCCUCUUCCUCCUCCCAUCCCUUUCUCAGUAGUUUACUCAGUCAGUCACAGUAUAUAAAUGUUAGUGUGGUGAAGAUGUGACGUGUUCAGGCUGAGGCAGAGGCUGGCAGUGGAGCUGUAUCGACAUACGGUGCGCGUCAAAGACCAGGACAUGAAGCUUUGUUCCCCCAAAUCGCCACGUCUUCAGGCGAAGGGAUGCAGCCUCGCAGUCACCUUGGUCAAACUUGGCAGGCAGAUAUUUCAUGGCUCCAGUAAGACAGAGAGUAGAGAGGCUGUUGAACUGCUGCAGAGAGCUCUGGACCUGUACAUCUGCUUCCUGGGGUCUGAUCACACACUGACCAGAGACUUACAACAGGAAAAGCCUUCUUUAGCUCCUACACAAUUUAAAAUGCUAACAUUUUCUUCUUGCAUUUUCAUAGGGUUUAAGAGAGAGUAAAGCAAUUACAGGUCAUUGGACCUAACGGAGUUGACCUUUGUCCUCUUAGGAUUUUAAAACACAGAAUCCAGGAGACCUUUGACCCCUCAGGUACCCAGGUCCAGACCCCUCUCCCACCUCUCCACUAGGAGGCUAAGCAGUGGGACCAGACCCAACACAGCCGCACCCCUUCACUACCAGGCAGGUACGUUCUGGAGGAACGGACAGUAACAGCUUUAAACAGAGAGAUUGGAUCCCCUUUGCACACACAGAGAUGCACACCGCUGGUCAGACAGACAGACAGACAGACAGGCCAGGGACAGGCACAGGGAGGAGAACAGAGCUGGAGAGACAGUGUCUUAUUCCGCCAGGAGGCGCUAGAGAGAAGAGAAAGAUCUAGAGAAGACUGCUCUCAUGGUGACCACUGAACUGUUUUGAGUGUUUAUGCUAUUCUUUUACCACUUUUGAUACCAAUCAGCUGUUUUCUUUUCAAUAUUGAAAUCUGUCACAAUAAAUGUUUUGCAUAUAAAUUGAAAUAAAAUGUUUGCUUGUU
This is a long non-coding RNA of Coregonus clupeaformis (lake whitefish), 1110 nucleotides long. RefSeq lists it as uncharacterized. The transcript is spliced from 2 exons. NCBI's taxonomy places the organism in Eukaryota, Metazoa, Chordata, Actinopteri, Salmoniformes, Salmonidae. The record is from RefSeq and is a predicted model, not a curated record.